Molecule: ribosomal RNA, 443 nt
Filed under: uncultured bacterium
Lineage: Bacteria
Description: bacterial SSU rRNA
Rfam family: Bacterial small subunit ribosomal RNA
Source: RNAcentral
CCAGACUCCUACGGGAGGCAGCAGUGGGGAAUAUUGCACAAUGGGGGAAACCCUGAUGCAGCAACGCCGCGUGAGUGAAGAAGUAUUUCGGUAUGUAAAGCUCUAUCAGCAGGGAAGAAGAUGACGGUACCUGAUUAAGAAGCCCCGGCUAACUACGUGCCAGCAGCCGCGGUAAUACGUAGGGGGCAAGCGUUAUCCGGAUUCACUGGGCGUAAAGGGAGCGCAGGCGGCACGGCAAGUCUGGUGUGAAAGCCCGGGGCCCAACCCCGGGACUGCAUUGGAACUGCAUGGCUGGAGUACAGGAGGGGCAGGCGGAAUUCCUAGUGUAGCGGUGAAAUGCGUAGAUAUUAGGAGGAACACCGGUGGCGAAGGCGGCCUGCUGGACUGUGACUGACGUUGAGGCCCGAAGGCGUGGGGAGCAAACAGGAUUAGAUACCCCCGUA